Molecule: ribosomal RNA, 427 nt
Filed under: uncultured bacterium
Lineage: Bacteria
Description: bacterial SSU rRNA
Rfam family: Bacterial small subunit ribosomal RNA
Source: RNAcentral
UGGGGAAUUUUGGACAAUGGGCGAAAGCCUGAUCCAGCCAUGCCGCGUGAGUGAAGAAGGCCUUCGGGUUGUAAAGCUCUUUUGUCCGGGAGGAAAUCCUGGCCUCUAAUACAGGUCGGGGAUGACAGUACUGGAAGAAUAAGCACCGGCUAACUACGUGCCAGCAGCCGCGGUAAUACGUAGGGUGCAAGCGUUAAUCGGAAUUACUGGGCGUAAAGCGUGCGCAGGCGGUUUUGUAAGCCAGAUGUGAAAUCCCCGAGCUUAACUUGGGAACUGCGUUUGGAACUACAAGACUAGAGUGUGUCAGAGGGGGGUAGAAUUCCACGUGUAGCAGUGAAAUGCGUAGAGAUGUGGAGGAAUACCGAUGGCGAAGGCAGCCCCCUGGGAUAACACUGACGCUCAUGCACGAAAGCGUGGGGAGCAAACA